UGAGGCACCAACGAAAUAGUUUCAGACGCUUCACUUCAACAAGUAGAUAUCAAUAAUAACAUCGAUUACUCUCUUUAAAAGCAGAAAUGCCAUGGCAGUACACCAACAAUCUUCCAUCUUCUCUGUAAAUCUAUCUGGUUGUGAAGGUGGAUGCCACCCGGUCUUAGUACUUGCUAACUUUCUCCAUGGCAAUCUCCACAUUAGAGCAUCCACUAAACCUCACAAAUGACCUUAGAGCAUGGUACUGAAGUGGCAAUUUUAUAAUCAGUCAAAUCCCCUUUGAUAAUACCUGCUUUCCUAAGAAACCUCACACCCUCAGUUGCAUCUGCAAUCCCACACAUUAGAUUGAUGGAUCUGGUAAAUAGGAGCUUCAAUUUCGACAUGGCAGCUUCAUAGACCAUCAAGUUUCUAAGUAUGACUACUGAGUCAGCAUUCAUGGUGAUAAUAGGAAUUUAUAAAGUUGAAGAAGAUUGUUUAAAUUUAUUUUUAUUGAUAUCCACUUGGAUUGGGCUGCAUCCGACUCUGGCAUAACACCAUAAUUUGGAUGUUGUAUAGCUCUAGUAUCCUUGCUCUCUUUGUCUCCAUUUCUUUCUGUACAUUUCCUAAAUAGCCCCAAAAUUAUUGACCAUGGCACAUUUGCUACAACCCGGUUAACAGACUUAACAAAUUUUUGCACGUUUCUUGGGCCUAUUUGGCUUCAAAA
Capsicum annuum is the source of this 703-nucleotide long non-coding RNA. RefSeq lists it as uncharacterized. The record is from RefSeq and is a predicted model, not a curated record. The transcript has 2 exons. Lineage: Eukaryota; Viridiplantae; Streptophyta; Magnoliopsida; Solanales; Solanaceae.